Molecule: ribosomal RNA, 468 nt
Filed under: uncultured bacterium
Lineage: Bacteria
Description: partial 16S ribosomal RNA
Rfam family: Bacterial small subunit ribosomal RNA
Source: RNAcentral
GACGAACGCUGGCGGCGUGCUUAACACAUGCAAGUCGAACGGAAAGGUCCGGCUUUUGUGGGGUGCUCGAGUGGCGAACGGGUGAGUAACACGCGAGUAACCUGCCCUUGACUUUGGGAUAACUUCAGGAAACUGGGGCUAAUAUCGGAUAGGAGCUCCUGCUGCAUGGUGGGGGUUGGAAAGUGUCGGCGGUUGGGGAUGGACUCGCGGCUUAUCAGCUUGUUGGUGGGGUAGUGGCUUACCAAGGGUUUGACGGGUAGCCGGCCUGAGAGGGUGACCGGCCACAUUGGGACUGCGAUACGGCCCAGACUCCUACGGGAGGCAACAGUGGGGAAUAUUGCGCAAUGGGCGGAAGCCUGAUGCAGCAACGCCGCGUGCGGGAUGACGGCCUUCGGGUUGUAAACCGCUUUCGACUGUGACGAAGCGUGAGUGACGGUAAUGGGUAAAGAAGCACCGGCUAACUACGUG